AGCGAACGCUGGCGGCAGGCCUAACACAUGCAAGUCGAACGAACUCUUCGGAGUUAGUGGCGGACGGGUGAGUAACACGUGGGAACGUGCCUUUUGGUUCGGAAUAACUCAGGGAAACUUGUGCUAAUACCGAAUGUGCCCUUCGGGGGAAAGAUUUAUCGCCAUUAGAGCGGCCCGCGUCUGAUUAGCUAGUUGGUGAGGUAACGGCUCACCAAGGCGACGAUCAGUAGCUGGUCUGAGAGGAUGACCAGCCACACUGGGACUGAGACACGGCCCAGACUCCUACGGGAGGCAGCAGUGGGGAAUCUUGCGCAAUGGGCGAAGGCCUGACGCAGCCAUGCCGCGUGAAUGAUGAAGGUCUUAGGAUUGUAAAAUUCUUUCACCGGGGACGAUAAUGACGGUACCCGGAGAAGAAGCCCCGGCCAACUUCGUG
RNAcentral lists this ribosomal RNA (433 nucleotides) under uncultured bacterium. Its description in RNAcentral is "partial 16S ribosomal RNA". It matches the Rfam family "Bacterial small subunit ribosomal RNA", at positions 29 to 507 of the family's 1533-position model. The record is from RNAcentral.